GACGAACGCUGGCGGCGUGCUUAACACAUGCAAGUCGAACGGAAAGGCCCUGCUUUUGUGGGGUGCUCGAGUGGCGAACGGGUGAGUAACACGUGAGUAACCUGCCCUUGACUUUGGGAUAACUUCAGGAAACUGGGGCUAAUACCGGAUAGGAGCUCCUGCUGCAUGGUGGGGGUUGGAAAGUUUCGGCGGUUGGGGAUGGACUCGCGGCUUAUCAGCUUGUUGGUGGGGUAGUGGCUUACCAAGGCUUUGACGGGUAGCCGGCCUGAGAGGGUGACCGGCCACAUUGGGACUGAGAUACGGCCCAGACUCCUACGGGAGGCAGCAGUGGGGAAUAUUGCACAAUGGGCGGAAGCCUGAUGCAGCAACGCCGCGUGCGGGAUGACGGCCUUCGGGUUGUAAACCGCUUUCGCCUGUGACGAAGCGUGAGUGACGGUAAUGGGUAAAGAAGCACCGGCUAACUACGUGCCAGCAGCCGCGGUGAUACGUAGGGUGCGAGCGUUGUCCGGAUUUAUUGGGCGUAAAGGGCUCGUAGGUGGUUGAUCGCGUCGGAAGUGUAAUCUUGGGGCUUAACCCUGAGCGUGCUUUCGAUACGGGUUGACUUGAGGAAGGUAGGGGAGAAUGGAAUUCCUGGUGGAGCGGUGGAAUGCGCAGAUAUCAGGAGGAACACCAGUGGCGAAGGCGGUUCUCUGGGCCUUUCCUGACGCUGAGGAGCGAAAGCGUGGGGAGCGAACAGGCUUAGAUACCCUGGUAGUCCACGCUGUAAACGGUGGGUACUAGGUGUGGGGUCCAUUCCACGGGUUCCGUGCCGUAGCUAACGCUUUAAGUACCCCGCCUGGGGAGUACGGCCGCAAGGCUAAAACUCAAAGGAAUUGACGGGGCCCCGCACAAGCGGCGGAGCAUGCGGAUUAAUUCGAUGCAACGCGUAGAACCUUACCUGGGUUUGACAUGGAUCGGGAGUGCUCAGAGAUGGGUGUGCCUCUUUUGGGGUCGGUUCACAGGUGGUGCAUGCCUGUCGUCAGCUCGUGUCGUGAGAUGUUGGGUUAAGUCCCGCAACGAGCGCAACCCUUGUUCACUGUUGCCAGCACGUUAUGGUGGGGACUCAGUGGAGACCGCCGGGGUCAACUCGGAGAAAGGUGGGGAUGACGUCAAGUCAUCAUGCCCCUUAUGUCCAGGGCUUCACGCAUGCUACAAUGGCUGGUACAGAGAGUGGCGAGCCUGUGAGGGUGAGCGAAUCUCGGAAAGCCGGUCUCAGUUCGGAUUGGGGUCUGCAACUCGACCUCAUGAAGUCGGAGUCGCUAGUAAUCGCAGAUCAGCAACGCUGCGGUGAAUACGUUCCCGGGGCU
RNAcentral lists this ribosomal RNA (1346 nucleotides) under uncultured bacterium. RNAcentral describes it as "partial 16S ribosomal RNA". It matches the Rfam family "Bacterial small subunit ribosomal RNA", at positions 28 to 1381 of the family's 1533-position model. The record is from RNAcentral.